CCCCAGUAACGGCGAGUGAAGCGGCAACAGCUCAAAUUUGAAAUCUGGCCUCGCGGUCCGAGUUGUAAUUUGUAGAGGGUGCCUCGGGUGCGAUUCCGGUCUAAGUUCCUUGGAACAGGGCGUCAUAGAGGGUGAGAAUCCCGUACGUGACCGGCCGUCAACCCCAUGUGAGGCCCCUUCGACGAGUCGAGUUGUUUGGGAAUGCAGCUCAAAAUGGGUGGUAAAUUUCAUCUAAAGCUAAAUACCGGCCAGAGACCGAUAGCGCACAAGUAGAGUGAUCGAAAGAUGAAAAGCACUUUGGAAAGAGAGUUAAAAAGUAUGUGAAAUUGUUGAAAGGGAAGCGCUCGCAGCCAGACUCGUCCGCGGAUGAUCAACCGCCCCUCGGGGCGGUGCACUCUUCCGCGGCCGGGCCAGCAUCGGUUUCGGCGGCCGGACAAAGGCCCAGGGAAUGUGGCUCCUCUCGGGGAGUGUUAUAGCCCGGGGCGUCAUGCGGCCAGCCGGGACCGAGGACCGCGCUUUUUGCUAGGAUGCUGGCGUAAUGGCUGUCAGC
Molecule: ribosomal RNA, 550 nt
Filed under: Odontotrema richardsonii
Lineage: Eukaryota; Fungi; Ascomycota; Lecanoromycetes; Ostropales; Odontotremataceae
Description: LSU rRNA
Rfam family: Eukaryotic large subunit ribosomal RNA
Source: RNAcentral